ACACACACACACACACACACACACACACACACACACACACACACACGGGACUCGUAAAUAAGACUAGCCUAUUAAAAUCAUUAUCUGACUCCAUAAUGAAGAAUAGUAAUAUGCAAAAGCCUACAGUUUUAUUUCACCUUUAUUUAACCAGGUAGGCCCGUAUUUCACCUUUAUUUAACCAGGUAGGCCCGUAUUUCACCUUUAUUUAACCAGGAAGGCCCGUCGAGAACAAGUUCUCAUUUACAACUGCCACCUGGCCAAGAUCAAGCAAAGCAGUGGGACACAAACAACAACAAGAGUUACACAUGGAAUAAACAAAACGUACAGUCAAUAACACAAUAGUUGAGUUACAGCAACAGACCGUGAAGAAAUGUCUGAACCGAAUUCUAAAUACAAGUAUAUUUAAUGACUUUGUCAAAUGAAUGGAUUUACAUACGAGGGGCAUAAAGCUUCACUUACAAAGCGUUAACAAGCAUUACAAGGCAUUAUUCUAAGCAUGGUCAGAGAGAGCUGAGGAAUGCCAGGGCCCAGAGGUCACGGGAGAGAUGAAGAAACCAUGGCUCGUGCCAGGGCCCAGAGGUCACGGGAGAGAUGAAGAAACCAUGGCUCGUGCCAGGGCCCAGAGGUCACGGGAGAGAUGAAGAAACCAUGGCUCGUGCCAGGGCCCAGAGGUCACGGGAGAGAUGAAGAAACCAUGGCUCGUGCCAGGGCCCAGAGGUCACGGGAGAGAUGAAGAAACCAUGGCUCGUGCCAGGGCCCAGAGGUCAUGGGAGAGAUGAAGAAACCAUGGCUCGUGCCAGGGCCCAGAGGUCAUGGGAGAGAUGAAGAAACCAUGGCUCGUGCCAGGGCCCAGAGGUCAUGGGAGAGAUGAAGAAACCAUGGCUCGUGCCAGGGCCCAGAGGUCAUGGGAGAGAUGAAGAAACCAUGGCUCGUGCCAGGGCCCAGAGGUCAUGGGAGAGAUGAAGAAACCAUGGCUCGUGCCAGGGCCCAGAGGUCAUGGGAGAGAUGAAGAAACCAUGGCUCGUGCCAGGGCCCAGAGGUCAUGGGAGAGAUGAAGAAACCAUGGCUCGUGCCAGGGCCCAGAGGUCAUGGGAGAGAUGAAGAAACCAUGGCUCGUGCCAGGGCCCAGAGGUCAUGGGAGAGAUGAAGAAACCAUGGCUCGUGCCAGGGCCCAGAGGUCAUGGGAGAGAUGAAGAAACCAUGGCUCGUGCCAGGGCCCAGAGGUCAUGGGAGAGAUGAAGAAUGAGUGUUGGUUUCUCACCACAGCAAGUCAGGAACAUAAGAGAAAGAACAAUGAAUCUAAGACACCUUCAUAACAUCUGAGUUGUUUGGAUUCAAAUUCUGACUUGUUGACCAAUAGUAUUACUGUAAAAGUUAACCUCAGAUAUCAGACCAAUAGGAUGUAACCUCAGCUCCUCAGAGGGGGUUGGAGAGAUCAACACAGAGAAUGUUGAAUUCCUAAGAGAACGAAGAGAAUGCUGAAUUCCUAAGAGAACGAAGAGAAUGCUGAAUUCCUAAGAGAACGAAGAGAAUGCUGAAUUCCUAAGAGAACGAAGAGAAUGUUGAAUUCCUAAGAGAACACAGAGAAUGCUGAAUUCCU
Oncorhynchus keta (chum salmon) is the source of this 1600-nucleotide long non-coding RNA. RefSeq lists it as uncharacterized. The record is from RefSeq and is a predicted model, not a curated record. Lineage: Eukaryota; Metazoa; Chordata; Actinopteri; Salmoniformes; Salmonidae. The transcript is spliced from 3 exons.